RNAcentral lists this transfer RNA (89 nucleotides) under Colletotrichum zoysiae. Its description in RNAcentral is "tRNA-Gln". It matches the Rfam family "tRNA". Rfam says of the family: Transfer RNA (tRNA) molecules are approximately 80 nucleotides in length. Their secondary structure includes four short double-helical elements and three loops (D, anti-codon, and T loops). Further hydrogen bonds mediate the characteristic L-shaped molecular structure. tRNAs have two regions of fundamental functional importance: the anti-codon, which is responsible for specific mRNA codon recognition, and the 3' end, to which the tRNAs corresponding amino acid is attached (by aminoacyl-tRNA synthetases). tRNAs cope with the degeneracy of the genetic code in two manners: having more than one tRNA (with a specific anti-codon) for a particular amino acid; and 'wobble' base-pairing, i.e. permitting non-standard base-pairing at the 3rd anti-codon position. The record is from RNAcentral. Lineage: Eukaryota; Fungi; Ascomycota; Sordariomycetes; Glomerellales; Glomerellaceae.
GGUCUAUUAGUCUAGUUGGUUAGGACGUCGGAUUCUGAUUAAACCCCCAGAACCUUCCGUAGGCCCAGGUUCGAAUCCUGGAUGGACCU